AUUGAACGCUGGCGGCAUGCCUAACACAUGCAAGUCGAACGGCAGCACAGCAGUAGCAAUACUGUGGGUGGCGAGUGGCGGACGGGUGAGGAAUACGUCGGAAUCUGCCCAGUCGUGGGGGAUAACUAGCCGAAAGGUUAGCUAAUACCGCAUACGACCGAGAGGUGAAAGCGGGGGACCGCAAGGCCUCGCGCGAUUGGAUGAGCCGACGUCGGAUUAGCUAGUUGGCGGGGUAAAGGCCCACCAAGGCGACGAUCCGUAGCUGGUCUGAGAGGAUGAUCAGCCACACCGGAACUGAGACACGGUCCAGACUCCUACGGGAGGCAGCAGUGGGAAUAUUGGACAAUGGGCGCAAGCCUGAUCCAGCAAUGCCGCGUGUGUGAAGAAGGCCUUCGGGUUGGUUAAAGGACACUUUUAUUCUAGGAACGAAAAGACGUU
RNAcentral lists this ribosomal RNA (438 nucleotides) under uncultured bacterium. Its description in RNAcentral is "bacterial SSU rRNA". It matches the Rfam family "Bacterial small subunit ribosomal RNA", at positions 29 to 457 of the family's 1533-position model. The record is from RNAcentral.